Molecule: non-coding RNA, 468 nt
Organism: Paramuricea clavata
Lineage: Eukaryota; Metazoa; Cnidaria; Anthozoa; Malacalcyonacea; Plexauridae
Source: the annotation of a GenBank genome assembly
AAAAAAAUUUCAUUAAACAACUCUACACAUUCUCAUGCUUAUUUAACCGAGCCUUUGGUUUCGGUAAGUUUAAGGUUUGUAUUUAUUUCGGACCAGUCAACAACACUUUAGCCCAUGCCCUUUCAGUUAAGGUUUUCCAUUUCGAACCAGAAUCCAAAACUCAGUCUAAGCGGGUUAUAGGAUAGCUAGUGAUAAAGUAAUUUAUCUUUUUAUUUUGCUUUUUUGUUUAUAACGUAAUUUAUUAGCUAAAUGUAUGGAGUGCGAGAGUGUGCGCCGUGUGUAUAGGAUGCAUGGGGUUAGGCUAAACUAAAGGAAUUAACAUUUUGAGAGCAUACUUAAAGAGAAAAUACAUUUUUUCUGAACAAAACAACUAAUUUCCCAACAUCAGCAAGAUUUCCUAACAUCAGCAAAGUUUCGUUAUUUUUUAAACUAAAAUUACAGUCUCGUAGUGAAAUAUUUGGAAGAGGA